GUGCUCACUUUGGCAGCACAUAUACUAAAAUUGUAACGAUACAGAGAAGAUUAACAUGGCCCCUGUGGAAGGACAAAAUGCAAAUUCGUGAAAUGUUCCAUGUUUAA
Erinaceus europaeus (western European hedgehog) is the source of this 107-nucleotide small nuclear RNA. The record is from Ensembl. Lineage: Eukaryota; Metazoa; Chordata; Mammalia; Eulipotyphla; Erinaceidae.